AACACAUGCAAGUCGAACGGUAACAUUUCUAGCUUGCUAGAAGAUGACGAGUGGCGGACGGGUGAGUAAUGCUUGGGAACUUGCCUUUGCGAGGGGGAUAACAGUUGGAAACGACUGCUAAUACCGCAUAAUGUCUUCGGACCAAACGGGGCUUCGGCUCCGGCGCAAAGAGAGGCCCAAGUGAGAUUAGCUAGUUGGUAAGGUAACGGCUUACCAAGGCGACGAUCUCUAGCUGUUCUGAGAGGAAGAUCAGCCACACUGGGACUGAGACACGGCCCAGACUCCUACGGGAGGCAGCAGUGGGGAAUAUUGCACAAUGGGGGAAACCCUGAUGCAGCCAUGCCGCGUGUGUGAAGAAGGCCUUCGGGUUGUAAAGCACUUUCAGUUGUGAGGAAAAGUUAGUAGUUAAUACCUGCUAGCCGUGACGUUAACAACAGAAGAAGCACCGGCUAACUCCGUGCCAGCAGCCGCGGUAAUACGGAGGGUGCGAGCGUUAAUCGGAAUUACUGGGCGUAAAGCGCACGCA
RNAcentral lists this ribosomal RNA (526 nucleotides) under uncultured bacterium. RNAcentral describes it as "bacterial SSU rRNA". It matches the Rfam family "Bacterial small subunit ribosomal RNA", at positions 50 to 573 of the family's 1533-position model. The record is from RNAcentral.